AUGCGCUAUAUAGGACUACUAUGUAUGUGUAGACACCAGGCACGACACAGCCUGUUGCCCGAACAAGUAAAUUUACCGGAACCGGUUAAUCAUUCUAAUUUCAAAGAACUGAUUUCAUUCGAUUCGGAAAGGGGAUUUCACUCAUUUCAAAAAACUAAAUUCACUCAUUUUGAAACACUGAUCUCACUUACUUUCGAAGGUUUAGUUACGGAAGCCCUACCCAAUGGAAUGUUCCGCGUUCGGCUAGAGAAUGACACCGUCAUCCUAGGCUAUAUUUCAGGAAAGAUACGGUCUAGUUCUAUACGAAUACUGAUGGGGGAUAGGGUCAAAAUUGAAGUAAGUCGUUAUGAUUCAAGCAAGGGACGUAUAAUUUAUAGACUUCCCCAUAAGGAUUCGAAGCGUAUCGAAGACUCGAAGGAUAGCGAAGAUUUGAAGGAUAGCGAAGAUUUGAAGGAUACCAAAGAUUCAAAGGAUUAG
This 477-nucleotide ribosomal RNA is filed under the name Triticum aestivum (bread wheat). RNAcentral describes it as "partial small subunit ribosomal RNA". Lineage: Eukaryota; Viridiplantae; Streptophyta; Magnoliopsida; Poales; Poaceae. The record is from RNAcentral.